AGCGAACGCUGGCGGCAGGCCUAACACAUGCAAGUCGAACGAACUCUUCGGAGUUAGUGGCGGACGGGUGAGUAACACGUGGGAACGUGCCUUUAGGUUCGGAAUAACUCAGGGAAACUUGUGCUAAUACCGAAUGUGCCCUUCGGGGGAAAGAUUUAUCGCCUUUAGAGCGGCCCGCGUCUGAUUAGCUAGUUGGUGAGGUAAAGGCUCACCAAGGCGACGAUCAGUAGCUGGUCUGAGAGGAUGAUCAGCCACAUUGGGACUGAGACACGGCCCAAACUCCUACGGGAGGCAGCAGUGGGGAAUCUUGCGCGAUGGGCGAAAGCCUGACGCAGCCAUGCCGCGUGAAUGAUGAAGGUCUUAGGAUUGUAAAAUUCUUUCACCGGGGACGAUAAUGACGGUACCCGGAGAAGAAGCCCCGGCUAACUUCGUG
Molecule: ribosomal RNA, 433 nt
Filed under: uncultured bacterium
Lineage: Bacteria
Description: partial 16S ribosomal RNA
Rfam family: Bacterial small subunit ribosomal RNA
Source: RNAcentral